This is a non-coding RNA of Ictidomys tridecemlineatus (thirteen-lined ground squirrel), 4526 nucleotides long. The record is from RefSeq and is a predicted model, not a curated record. Lineage: Eukaryota; Metazoa; Chordata; Mammalia; Rodentia; Sciuridae.
AUGGGACCUCAAGCUCAGGACAGGUCCCAAUCCCCCACCAGAAGCUGUGCUCUGCUAGGGUCUGAAUGCCAUGGUGAUCACCUAACACUAGGACUGAUGCUCUUUGCCAGUGUGCUGGGGACUUGCCUUGAAGCUGCCAAAAUCACUGUGGGCUUCCAUGCCCCCUGGAACAUCGCCCAUCCCUGCAGUGUGCAGAGGCUGGGGGCAGGCCAUGGACAAGGUUAGCUCAGAGCCAGUGGGCCUGGGAAACUUCAGCUGGGAGUUCACUUACACCAACUCCACCUGCAGUGCCAAGGAGUCCCUUGCUCUUUUUAUUAACCAGGUCCAGGGAGGACACAUUUCUGCCCUGUUUGGACCAGCAUGCCCUGGAGCAGCAAAGGGUGCUGGUUUGCUGGCUUCUGAGUGGAAGAUCCCUGUUUGACUUUGUUGGAUCAAUGGCUAAGUUGAAGAGCCAUUUUUUGUAUGAUACUUGCAUUGACACUUGUGCUAUCGAAGCUGGAAAAAGGUGACAUGCUUCAGAAAAGGUCUACCUUUCUGAAGGUUUCCAACCUAGGUCUCUCGUACCUAGGUUGGAAACACAUUGGGUUGUUUGGAUGCCACUCUGGGCCUCCUCCUGGGAUAGUGGGAAUGAGCCAUGGAGGGUUGUGGAGAUGAACUAAAAUCCCAUUUCACCAUCACUGCCAACAUGAGACCCACCAGCAGUAACCGAGUCCUCCUUCAGGAGGAUCUCAGAAGCAUGUCACCAGUCGCCAGAGUUAUCAUCUUUAUCUGCAACCCAGAGGAUGCAAAAAUUAUUCUGCGGGCUGCAGAGAACCUGGGACUCAGCACUGGAGAAUUUGCCUUUAUUAUUUUGCCACAGUUGGAGGUAGAUGCUGACCCGCACUCAGUGGCUCCGGUAAUGAGAAUGGAGUCCUUGCUGGAGAGCAUGAGAGGAAAUGUUUGGAAAGAUGUAUUGUCAAACCAGAAAGUGAACUGCCUCCCAGAGGCCUAUGAAUGAGUAUUUCUCAUCACGCUCAGCUCCCAUGGAGAGCGUGGCUUCUGGGAGCAGGCCUACCAGAAGCUGAGGAGGGUGCCCUUCCACAGCUCCAUCUCCUUGGAGGAGCAGAUGAGCCCUUACUCUGCCUAGCUGCAUGAUGCUGUCCUGCUGUACGCACAGAUGAUAAAGAGAUAGUCCAGGUCAGGAGAGAAUUUCAGGAUGGGUGGCAGCUGGUCAGCACCCCAAGAGCCCAUUACACUGCACUUCAGGGGGAGCAGCCAUGUGCUGGGGGUUUCUGGACUCAGGAAUCACAGGGCCCUGUGUUUGUGAACUCCCAGGGAAAAAGGUACAUGGAUCACUCAGUCUACGUCCUAUAGGAAUUUGGAAAUGAGUUCCUUUUUCUUCCUUUGCUUUAUUACGAUUGCUCUCAGAAAGUAAUCAGACCAUUAAGAAAUUUCUCCAACAUUACUUAGUCUUAUGGCUCCCUCCCUGAAGUCAGACCCAGCUGUGGGUUUUACAAGGAGCUCUGCAAAACAAAGCAUACUUUAACAGGUCCAACCGUUGUGAGUGUCACGGUGAUUCUCCUGAGUACUGUCCUGGGAUCUGCCACCCUCGGUCUGGUUUUAAGGAUGCAGAGGGGAAAACUGAGGAGGCAAAAUAAAGACAUUGGGUGGCAAAUUAACUAUGUUAACAUCACCAUCCUGCCCCAGAGCAAGCCACCUGGGAGAGGCACACCUGUAUCAAGAGGCAACAGUAGUAAGGCAUCUUGUGGGAUGAGUUCUGCUGACCUCAGCACCUUUGUCAAGAGCCUGGGGGCAGGGAGAAUUGGUGGGAAGCUCUUUUAUGCCCCCAAAAACAUGACCAUCUGCUAUGUUGGUGACCAAGCAGAAGCAUGGGAUAGGAAGCUGACUGUGUGGCAGGAAGUCCAGCUGGUGUGUGAAUUAAGGCAUAAGAACAUCAUCCCCUUCUUUGGUAUUUACAACAUCUGUAUUGUCACCCAGUAUUGCAAAAAAGGAACUGCCUCCGCGUGGAGUGCAUCCAGCAGCCGGAACGUGUCCUCCGCGGGCCGGAUCGGACCGUUGCUGAGCGCGCUGGGCCCCGCGUGCCGGUGCAGCGGUCAGGGGAACCUCGGUGCCGCCAUCUUCGACCUUUCCGUCCUACGCAGAAAAGGAAGUCUUGAGGGCACGCUGUUCCUCCACAGGAGUGCGCUGGGGUCCCACGGCAACCUGGAGCCUUCCAGCUGCCUGGUGACUUGCAUGUGACUACAUGCAAGUGAAGCUGUCAGGAUCUGGGCCUUGUGAGCUGCAGGACAGUUGGACAUACAGGACACACGGCAAGAAAACCACCGAGGCCUUGGCCCGAGCUGCCCAGAGCUGCCCAUCGGGCACCCCAAGGCCAGACGUCUGCAGCUUUGCCAUUCUCCUGAGGGACUUCAUCCACCACCGGGACCACGCGCCCUCGAUGGGGGCAACCUGGAUGAGGCACCCGAUGAAGAUGUUAACAUCUGAACUUUUUAAAAGCCACGUGAGCAUACCAGAUAGUAUGACGAGCAGGCUGGAAGAGUAUACCGACCCUGGAGGAAGGGCUGGAAGAGAGGACCGGCCAGCUAAUGGCAGAGAAGAGGAGGUGGAGGAGCUCCUGUCUACAAUACUGCCCAGGCUCUCUGGAGCAUUGAGGCUCUUCAACGACUUGUACAGUUUGUUUGAUCGCAUCAUUACAACCUACAAUGUGUGCAAGGUUGAAAACAUUGGAGAUGCAUUCAUGGUGGCUAGUGGACUUCCCAAGACACAUGGAUGGGAUUGCCACCAUGUCUCUUCCCUUCCUUAGUGCCAUCCUCCACUGCCAGAGUGGGCACAUGCCCGAGGAGAAGCUCAAGCCCUGGAUUGGCCUCCACACAGAUGAUGUGGUGGCUGGCGUGGGGGGAAUCACCAUGACCAGACACCGUGAACACGGCAUCCAGAAUGGAAAGUAGCAGUUUGCCUCUAUGGAUCCAUGUUGCUCAGAGCACUGAAGAUGCCUUGCUGGCAAUAGGCGGUACAAUCUGCAAAAGAGAAGCACCAUUCCAGUCAAGGGCAAAAGAGAACAAACGACUUUUUCGUUGAAAGGCCAAGAAGGCUUCGCCAGUCUGCUCCCCGGGUUUACUGAGCAAGAGGCUCAAGUUCCAGAGAUCUUGUGAGCACAAAAAACGAGUUUGUCAUCGCUGAGGACGACCUGAGGGCGGAGCUGCAGCUCCAGGCUGACUCCUACAACAGGGCGCAGAUCCCCAGCAUCACGACUAGGUGGCGCAUAACAUCUGUGAACCAGAGCAGGCGGGAGGGCUCUGAGACAGAGGCCUGAGGGCAGGAGCAGCUCAACCGGCUCUAACCCGAGGACGGCCCAGCUCAGGGGUCUUAAACCACACAUAAUCAGGAGGAAGCCUCGGCUUGGCUAGACUCUCAAGUAUGGCUGCUAUGGUGCCCAGUCUCCCAAAGCAUCUUGCUCACCCCAGGUCACACUACGCUCAGUUCAUCAUUAGAUUUUCAACAGAGGUCUUUCACGACCCCUGGACUGAGCUAAAUCCCUUGCUGGAUACUUCCUGGCACCCCUGCCCCUCCACAGGGUCUUGCUCCUUGCUAGAUGGAAAGUUCCUGGUUGGAUCUGUUUAUUUCUAAAACUCCAGUGCUAGAAGCUCAAUACAGGCCCAUUGACUGGCACUUGACAUGCCUAGAACAUUCUCUUUCCUAUUAUUAUUGUUCUCUGCAUGUUCUAGUCAGAAGCUCAGCAUUUUCUGAUUCCUUGGGGCCAUUUUGGAUUUGAGCCAUCGACAGAACUUUUCAAGGUACUCAGCAAACCUCAGCUUCUUGGAUUCCAUCCCUCCCCCCACUGGAAGACUGGAGGAGCAGGUGAGAGCUGUGUCUACAGGCACACCUGGUUUGGCAAUUCAGUCAAAAUGCUCAAACCAGCUGUGCCUGUGGGCACAGCCCAGAGUGUGCCCAGCCAGUAGGAAACACGCUUACUCCGCAGGGAGAGCUCCACCACCAGCACGCCCCCAGUCUGGUCCCGGAGCAGGCGCUUCCGUUUGUCGCAGGUCUGAUGACCCCAGGGGAAGGAUGAGAACAAAGGAAGGGAAGGAAGAGGGAAUUAGAAAAAGAAAGAAAAAAAGAAAGCCACAAACUGGAUGGAGUAAAAAUUCUCCAGUCAACUCAUACCAGUUGGCUUAUAUUUAUUUAUUUGUUUUAAAUAAUUCUGAGAACCCAGGAGGAAAGCAUCAGUAAAUUAAGAAUUCAAGUUGGAAGGAAUCCUGCUUGGUCCUUUCUACCACACGUGGGAGGAAUGGACCACAUCUUUUGAUAAAAAGUGAGUCUUUUACUUAGAGUUAUUCUAAUCACAGUGACUGAGGACACUUGCAAAACAUGUUCUUUUUUAAUGUGGUGUCAAUACUCAGCCUCUGAUCAAUUGUAAAAUGUUUCUGUCAGCCUUUCCCCAGUCGCACACCCUCUGGCUCCUUUCCCUUUCACUAUCUGUGCUCAUGGAUGACCAUCUUCUAUCCAAAUGAGUCAAUGCAACUAGA